UACGAAGGGGGCUAGCGUUGCUCGGAAUGACUGGGCGUAAAGGGCGCGUAGGCGGAUGGCAUAGUCAGAUGUGAAAUUCCCGGGCUUAACCUGGGGACUGCAUUUGAUACUGGCUGUCUUGAGUUCGGGAGAGGUGAGUGGAAUGCCGAGUGUAGAGGUGAAAUUCGUAGAUAUUCGGCGGAACACCAGUGGCGAAGGCGACUCACUGGCCCGAUACUGACGCUGAGGCGCGAAAGCGUGGGGAGCAAACAGG
Molecule: ribosomal RNA, 253 nt
Filed under: uncultured bacterium
Lineage: Bacteria
Description: partial 16S ribosomal RNA
Rfam family: Bacterial small subunit ribosomal RNA
Source: RNAcentral